AUAACAAUACAGGACUCUUUAGAGUCCCUGUAAUUGUAAUGAGUCCACUUGAAAUCCUUUAAUUAUGAUCAAUUGGAGGGUAAGUCUGGUGCAGAGCGACUGACCCAUGCGUGCUGCAGCUGAAA
This is a non-coding RNA of Pelobates cultripes (western spadefoot toad), 125 nucleotides long. NCBI's taxonomy places the organism in Eukaryota, Metazoa, Chordata, Amphibia, Anura, Pelobatidae. The record is from the annotation of a GenBank genome assembly.